GAUGAACGCUGGCGGCGUGCCUAAUACAUGCAAGUCGAGCGAACGGACGAGAAGCUUGCUUCUCUGAUGUUAGCGGCGGACGGGUGAGUAACACGUGGAUAACCUACCUAUAAGACUGGGAUAACUUCGGGAAACCGGAGCUAAUACCGGAUGAUAUUUUGAACCGCAUGGUUCAAAAGUGAAAGACGGUCUUGCUGUCACUUAUAGAUGGAUCCGCGCUGCAUUAGCUAGUUGGUAAGGUAACGGCUUACCAAGGCAACGAUGCAUAGCCGACCUGAGAGGGUGAUCGGCCACACUGGAACUGAGACGCGGUCCAGACUCCUACGGGAGGCAGCAGUAGGGAAUCUUCCGCAAUGGGCGAAAGCCUGACGGAGCAACGCCGCGUGAGUGAUGAAGGUCUUCGAAUCGUAAAACUCUGUUAUUAGGGAAGAACAUAUGUGUAAGUAACUGUGCACAUCUUGACGGUACCUAAUCAGAAAGCCACGGCUAACUACGUG
This 497-nucleotide ribosomal RNA is filed under the name uncultured bacterium. Its description in RNAcentral is "partial 16S ribosomal RNA". It matches the Rfam family "Bacterial small subunit ribosomal RNA", at positions 28 to 507 of the family's 1533-position model. The record is from RNAcentral.